This 414-nucleotide ribosomal RNA is filed under the name Allobates femoralis group sp. ABGD cluster 9. Its description in RNAcentral is "partial large subunit ribosomal RNA". It matches the Rfam family "Bacterial large subunit ribosomal RNA", at positions 1834 to 2457 of the family's 2925-position model. Lineage: Eukaryota; Metazoa; Chordata; Amphibia; Anura; Aromobatidae. The record is from RNAcentral.
CUUGAUCAAUUAUAAGAGGUCAAGCCUGCCCAGUGACAUUGUUCAACGGCCGCGGUAUCCUAACCGUGCGAAGGUAGCGUAAUCACUUGUCCUUUAAAUAAGGACUAGUAUGAACGGCUUCACGAAGGCUAUACUGUCUCCUUAAUCUAAUCAAUUAAACUAAUCUCCCCGUGAAGAAGCGGGGAUUCAUCUAUAAGACGAGAAGACCCUAUGGAGCUUUAAACAUCUAAGACACUUGAUUUUUACCUACUAAACUUCAUGCAACCUAUCCUUUUGUCUUAAGUUUUAGGUUGGGGUGACCACGGAGAAUAAUUAAACCUCCACGUAGAAAGAAAAUUCUUUUCUAAGCAAAAAGCCACAUCUUAACGCAUCAAUAUAUUGACUUAACUUGACCCAAUUUCUUGCUCAACGAAC